Molecule: long non-coding RNA, 7219 nt
Organism: Anolis carolinensis (green anole)
Lineage: Eukaryota; Metazoa; Chordata; Lepidosauria; Squamata; Anolidae
Exons: 3
Source: RefSeq, a predicted model, not a curated record
AUUUUUCGCUUUAUAAGACGCACCAGAUGAUAAGACGCACCUAGUUUUCAGAGGAGGAAAAUGGGGAAAAAUAAUUUGAACUAAAAGAUGACCUUUAUGAUUUAUGAUACAAGAAAUAUCCAAAUUUUGGCUUUCGCAGGUUACUGAGCAACAUUACAUAAAUAAAUGUAUGAACCAAAUUUAAGUACUGGAAUCAUGUCAGAAAACUGCCUGUAAUUUUACUAUUUCAAUUUUCACUGGCUGUUUAAAAUCCUGCCUUUUAAGUAAUUAGUUGGGGCAACGGCUCUCUCUCCUCAUUGGCUCGCCUCAGAGCAUGCGAACUUCAACUCCCAGAAGCCUCGGCUGCGCUCUGCAAUGAUGAGGGCUUCUGGGAAAUGAAGUCUCGCAGCCGGCGAGGCGGAAGAGAAGCCAGGCCAGGGAAGAUGGCGGCGCCCUUGGCGGAGGAGCUGGAGCGGCUCCUGAACCCGCUUCCCGGCGCCUCGCAGGACCCCGAAGACGACCCUCAGGAUGUCCCAUUACAAUGAAAACAACUACUUUUGGGGCGGUUGCAUGGGUGAAGUGCUACCACCGCCGAAAAAAUGGCAAUGGCAGACAACAGCAGGCUCCCCGUCAUUCCAUAAGGAAAGCUGGAUCGAGCAGCCGAAAAACGGCUUUCCCCCCAUGUGAUGAGGAAGAGAGGAAGCCGUGACGGAAUGGGGCAUGGAGAGACAGGUCACCAUACCCCCUGCAUGACUGCUGGCAGGACACAGUGAUCUGCAAUGUCUUCGGCAGCACGUGUGAAGAGGUUGUAACUGGUGAGAUCAGAAGGAUGUAGUCUCAUUUGAUUUUGAUUUUUUGCAGAGGUGAGAAAAUGAACAUAAUCUUUAAUAAGCUUAUUUAUCCAUUUACUUUGCUUUCACUCAGUGUAAAAAUGCACUUCUAAGACAAAAGUUGCCAUCACACAUGACUAGUGGAUGAAAAUACAUGCAGACAGAAUUUGUCAUACAAAUGAGAUCAGUUAAUGCAACUUUUCACAGUACCGCUGUUUCUUUUUACCUACUUCAUCUUAUUUCUUAGAACAAAGAUUAAUACUACAGAAAAAGUUAUGACACUUGUAGUCUUUCCAAAGAUCUCUUUGUUAACAACUGUCAGUAUAACAUAUCAAACUUAGGGCAAACUCCCUUCCCUUGGAUUGAUAUACUUUCAGGUGCUUUAAAGGCUCUUGACAUCAGGACCCCUGUAGAUUCUUUCAAGUUCAUGUUUCCCCCCCACUUCUAGUAGCAAGUGAAGCCCCGACUUCUAAUGGGGGCUCUGCAAAUAUCUCAUCAAUAUUUAAAGUGCCAUGUGUGUUUCUGUUAGUGCUACCAAUUGCAGAUCAAAGGCAUUACCUCUGAGGUGAUGCAUUCCCUUCAAGGGACUCACAGUUGAGCCUUUCUUUCUUUCUUUCUUUCUUUCUUUCUUUCUUUCUUUCUUUCUUUCUUUCUUUCUUUCUUUCUUUCCUUCUUUCUUUCUUUUGGAAGAACUUCUUUUAACACCAUCUGCUUUUUCUUGGGCCUUGAGCAUGUUGUUUGGCAACUAUGGGGAAUUCAGUGUACAGUCAGUGAAAAUGCCAAAGUACAUAUUCUGGUCAUUUGAGGGAGGAAAGGAUGAAAAAGACUUUUCUCCUGCAGUUUUCAUUCUCCCCCCUCCCAAUACCCAGUUUAAUACCAGAGGACUGUUGAUACUGAAGCUGAAUCAACAUGGGUAUUUUUCUGAGAAUAGAGUAACAUAAGAACAUCCAGUCUAAUCAGGGCCAUAGCUGGGGGGGGGGGGUUAAGGGUUCAACCCUCCCUGAAAGGGUUCACCCCCUCUCAAAACCCUGAAAUUGUAGUUGCUGGUUGUGUCCAUGCUCAGCCAAUCAGAGCAUGGACACAACCGGACCUUUUAUUGGCUGAGAAAAAGAGAAAGAGAAAAAACUUCAAAUUCCAUCAUGCUCCGAGUGGAACUCAGAGACUUUUCAAUGCCUGUCCCAUGCAAAUGCUGCAGGGAAAGCGAGUUCCCAGUAGGGUCCUCUCUGGAGGAGGAGCCUGUUGGGACAUGUAAAAAUCAGUGUGUGUUAACCAAAAAUGUAAAGCAUGAAGCUGAUUGGUUUGGGCCACACCCAGGGAGCUAGCUGAGCCUGGGAGUUUUGGCAACAGUUGCAGAUAGCUUUCUGUGCAGGAGCUUAGCAGGAGAGGUUUUUGCUCCUGGGCUGCUGAAGGAAGACAUUUUACAUGGACAAAUUAAAAACCAUUUGAAUCUCCCUCAAAGGAUAUUGUUGUGUGGACUGGUCAAAGGUGAACUACGCGUGAUUUGCAUCCUGUCACAGAUCCUAGGGAACCUUUCCAAAAGAAAUGGACACUUCACUACCAGGGAGGGAAAAAAGAUGUUGCAGGUAAUCCCAUCUUCCUCAGGAGCCCCGUGGCAGACCCCUGACUCAGAUAUAUUGGAGACUUAACUCCACACUCUUCAGUAGCCAAUAAAUCCAGCUCUCUUGAUCCAUUUCCCCCAGCUUUUUUUGUUUCUUCCUCCAUGUUCUGUUUUCAGAGGAUUACACAAAAUGGACCACCGAAUAUUAUAAAUUACUUGUGGUCAAACUGAUCUGGGUCCAAGCCUCGUAACUGGGUUGUCAUUGUUUCUCUUUUAUAAAAGUACAGAAAUCUCUCCUCCUCUUUAUCUUCUCUUUCUCUUCCUCCUCCUACUUCUUCUAAAUUUGCAUGGAAUCAUUACUAUACAAAUAUUAUAAUUUACUAAUUUUUCUCUUCUUUCCAAAUCAGGGGGCCCUUGAUGAUCAACUUUAAAUCAUUAUUUGAUGAACUUUAAAGUCUGAGCUAAAUCUUGGUGGUCUGAGGCAACAAAAGUUCAUUGUAAGGAAAAGCAUUUAACAGCUGUUCUUAUAUGGUCCAUCUUUAACAGCUAUUUGUGGAUAUUUGGUCACAGUUCUGAACACUGCACUUUUAAGCCACGGGGAAAAAAUAAUUCUAUAAAGCUCAGGAACUCACACAUAAGUGCAAAUUCCCCUUGUCUUUGUGAGGUUUUUUUUUUUGUUUUUUUUUUUUUGCAAAGCCUUACUUGUGAGCAAUCACUUCUAAAGUCAUAGAAACAACUUGAUUUCUCUUGUUAAAAAUGAAUGCACCCCUAUCCAUCAGGUCUGACUUGUGGUUUUGAGACUGUACUUUAAGCAACUAGAAAUAGUGUGAUGGGAUUUUAAACUGUACAGUUCAAUAUGGCAGAGAGAUCGACAUUCUGCCAAUUAAUGUGAGGAAGGCAGAGAUAUUAGAAUGUUGGAGUCAUCAAAUAAUGUAAAGUUAGAUGGGAUUUUUUGUGUGUGGAAGCCAUGCAGUGUCAAUGUUCAGCAAAAUGAAUCUAUGCUGACUUCACAUACCAUCGAAGGAGCCGGCCUGUCUGUGUCUUGCAGUUCAGAGAUUUUUAAUAUCAUCCUAAACAGAAAUUCAAGGGUUUUACUGCUAGGAAGAACCACUUUACAUGCUUUUUGAAAUAAUCUUUACUUCUGCUAUUGAUUCUGUAUAUAUGAACCCAUUGCCCAAUAUCCAUUUGGCCAGGGCACAUUCAUGAAAACAAAGGAUGCAUUUUACAGUAUUUUUAAUUAAUUUUUUAAAAAUAAAUUCAGAUAAAAUCUUUGCUUUGACAUUACAAGAAAUGAUGAAAGGGCCAUGUAUAAGCAUUACUGACAGGAGAGAUGCAGUUCUUGUUUUUGAUCCUAGCGUCCAUUUCUGAUGAAACUUAGAUUGACAAUAUGUAUUAUGUGGCAAACAUGGUUAUAUUUAUACCAGUGUUCCCACAAAAAUGUGUGUGGCACAUUUGUGAAUAUUUAUCGAGUAGAUUUGAUUGGAACAACAUGAAUAUGCUGUAGGAGGAGAAAAUGGUCUAGUGGAGCCCGGAGCAUCAGCAUUAAAAGUGUAGGUCUUUUCUUUAUUUCUGGAGACAUGCCAUCAUCAGCCCUUUCAUGUAAUUAUCUAAUAUUCUCUUGGUUUAGCUGAGAUCCCCACAGUUCCUGGGCAGUAGGGAAGGAAUAGAUUUUGUCACCAUCAAUAUUUUGUUAUGAUGUAGUCCACUGAUAAUCCAAAUUUUAUGGUUUCUUGGUAUUGAAUAGGUGUUAGGUCCCAUUAGCUUUACCAAAGUCCUCUUCCUACUUGAAAUGAACACUAACAGUGGAAAAUACACAGUCAUUGUAACACGUCUGCCAUUGGAAUACAAAUGAAUUAGGACCUCAUUACAUUUAAGCUUCCUAGGAUGCUGGGAGUAUGGAGCCUUCCAGAUCCCAUCCAACAAUGUACAGCUACUUCUGGUGGGGCUCCAUCCUCUCAGUGUCCUCCAAGCAUCCUAGGAUGCAGCCAGAGAACAUGGGAGGCUUUUCGUGUUCUCAUUGAGAAGAACUGAGAUAAGCCAGGCAGCAACGCUUUCUGCCAUGGGAUGGGGAAAGUGCUGAUGCAGGCGAUGCGGGGCCCGGAGCAAUGGUUUCCCCUGAUGCCUGCUGGAUUCGCCAUGCUGCCUGGCGAAUCCCCCCACUAUCAUCCACAAAUUGGACCUCAAUGUGAUGACAUGGUAGUGAUAAUCUCAAGUGCUGCCUCCUCCUUCUCAAUGCCUUUCCUCUUCUUGUGUGCUAUGCUUUGGUUGAAAACUCCUGGUUCCUUUAAAUAUAGCUUCCCGUGAGGUCCAACCCUGAAAAUAGUCUUAUGAGCAAUGCUACAAAGUGGGAUUGCAAGAAGGUGUGUUGCAAUAGUCUAAAAUUGCAACAUUUUUUUAAAAAGGUAUUCUAAUUUGUUGUUAUAGUUUUACAAAAUAACGUGUUAUGGAUUAACUUGUUAAUUGAAGAGUUCUUAGUAACAUGUGUUAUAUUUUGGUUGUCUAUAACAGAGCUUCUUAAAUGUUUUUCAUUUAUGAUUCCUUUCUGCCCAAUUAAUUUUUAGGUGAUCCCAGGUAUAUAAAAUAGAUAUAAAAAUCAAACUGAUAAUAAAUCAGCAAUUGUAAGGCUUGCUAGUAAACAGGCUGAUUUUCCCUUGUUUUGGAACACAGUUGAAGCAUUUUUUUGGAAAGUCUAAUCUAAAUACUGCACAUUGUUGCUAACAAAUUUGUGUAAACAGGUAGCAUUCAGAAGCCAUUUACUGUUGCCAUUUUUGUGACUGCAGCAUUGAGCUAAGGGGACUCCAUUUUGGGUCGAGAUCCACAAUUUAAGAAGCAGAUACAAUAGAGUCUCACUAAUCCAAGCCUCGCUUAUCCAAGCCUCUGGAUAAUCCAAGCCAUUUUUGUAGUCAAUGUUUUCAAUAUAUCGUGAUAUUUUGGUGCUAAAUUCGUAAAUACAGUAAUUACAACAUAACAUUACUGCGUAUUGAACUACUUUUUCUGUCAAAUUUGUUGUCUAACAUGAUGUUUUGGUGCUUCAUUUGUAAAAUCCUAACCUAAUUUGAUGUUUAAUAGGCUUUUCCUUAACCCCUCCUUAUUAUCCAAGAUAUUUGCUUAUCCAAGCUUCUGCCGGCCCGUUUAGCUUGGAUAAGUGAGACUCUACUGUAACUGUAUAAUCUCUGUAUCCAUAUGACUGGUACCUGCAGUUUCACUUACUUGAAUCCAGCAGAAUAUGUUCUCACUAAAAAUUUUCUAGGUCCUCAAGGUGAUUUUACAGUGUGCUUCUGCUGGAGGCUAUCAUACAGUCUAACUGGAAGACUUAGCAAAUUCUCUAUGAAGAUGUAACUGAAUUUGCUAAAUACUUCAGUGAGACUCUAUGGUAAUCUUUGGUGGAAACUGUUCAUUUCAGUAGGUUUUCUAAGAUCCAGCUUCCUGUUUCCAUGGUAAGUCGAAGAAUAUAUCCUUCACACAUAUUGAAGUUGUCCUGUAUUUAAAUGUAAAAAUGUUAAAAAAGCUAUUUUCUACAAUCACAUUUAUAGAAAAUAAAUCCAAAAUCCAAAUGGUGAAAAUGACUUCUCAAAAGCAAUUUUUAUCAGUAAUGAAAAACAUGCAUUUGCUAACCUCUUCUUAUGCUUUCAUUACCACAAAUGUAACAUGUUAACAGGCAACAUUAUUUGCAAUCAAAGACAUUCAAGGUCUGAUAACAACCCCAUUAUGUUUCAAUUGACCAUUGUGUUUGCCAUAACAUUUAUUUAUUGUGAAAAUUUACACCAUGAAUUUCUCUACUGCAAUUAGUAAUUUUAAAAAGUAUAAACUGCUAAAACAAAUUAAAUUGCAGAUGAGAGUACAACAGCCUAUACCAUUCCUCUACCAAAUGGUUAACAAAAAUGACAAACCUCAGCUGUGUAUGGUUCAAAUAUACACAGAGGCAUAAUUUUGGGUCUUUCUCAUAUAAUGAAAAGUGAGUGUUGAUAGGUUUAAGGGAGGUUCUUCAGGGAGUACUCUAUAGAUAUGCUGUAUAUAAAAUACCAAAGAACCCAGAGUAAGAAAUGAGUUAACAGAGAUACUUCAGAUCAGCAGUCCAGCUGGCACAAGGGUUUAACCCAUUGCACCACCAGAAAGUAAUGUAACCAAACUUGUCACAAAAAGUUGUUUAUGAUCUGAGAGAAUUGGCUGUCUACAGAAAUAUAGCCCAGGGGACACCCGGAUGUGUUACCAUCUUGCUGGGAGGCUUCUCUCAUGUCCCUGCAAGCUAGAGCUGAGAGAUGGGAGCUCACCCCAUCUCGUGGAUUUGAACCGGCAACCUUCAGGUUAGCAACCCAACUUUUGGGUCAGCAGUCCAGCUGGCGCAAGCGUUUAACCCAUUGUGCCACCAUAAAGUAAUGUAGCCAAACUUGUCACAAAAUCAGAUCCUGACUGUAACCUGGCAUAAAUCUAGCUUCCGGGUCUGACAUGAUCAAUACUUGAAAGUAUUUUCUUAGUAUUCUUAAGCUGGGAUAGAUGAAAGGGAAAAAAAACAAUUUUAACUGAAGUCUAUUUCCAAUCUGAUCACAUUGUCUCUCAGCUUGGUGUGCAGGAUGGUUCUUUUUUUGCUGUUUGCAUUAUAAUCACUCCCUGUGAAAGAAGUAUGUAGCAUAUUUGGCAAACGUAUAUCAUUUUCUUAAAGGUCUGUAGCUGAGAUGAUGGGUGUUGUGAGACAGCUGAAACCUUAAAGUCACAGAAGAAUGAAAAAUCAGCCUCUGGAAAUGUAUUCUUCUUUCAUGUUGUUUGUGCUUGCUUUUGUCAGCUUUUCAUACUUAAAUGCCUAAAUGGCUGUGCUGGCCAAAACCUGAACCUAAUUUAAAGUUUAAAACUUCCA